This 525-nucleotide ribosomal RNA is filed under the name uncultured bacterium. RNAcentral's name for it is "partial 16S ribosomal RNA". It matches the Rfam family "Bacterial small subunit ribosomal RNA", at positions 28 to 523 of the family's 1533-position model. The record is from RNAcentral.
GACGAACGCUGGCGGCGUGCCUAAUACAUGCAAGUCGAGCGCAGGAAACCGUUCCGAACCCUUCGGGGGGACGACGGUGGAAUGAGCGGCGGACGGGUGAGUAACACGUAAAGAACCUGCCCAUAGGUCUGGGAUAACCACGAGAAAUCGGGGCUAAUACCGGAUGUGUCAUCGGACCGCAUGGUCCGCUGAUGAAAGGCGCUCCGGCGUCGCCCAUGGAUGGCUUUGCGGUGCAUUAGCUAGUUGGUGGGGUAACGGCCCACCAAGGCGACGAUGCAGCGCCGACCUGAGAGGGUGAUCGGCCCCACUGGGACUGAGACACGGCCCAGACUCCUACGGGAGGCAGCAGUAGGGAAUCUUCCACAAUGGACGAAAGUCUGAUGGAGCAACGCCGCGUGAACGAUGAAGGCUUUCGGGUCGUAAAGUUCUGUUGUAAGGGAAGAACAAGUGCCGCAGGCAAUGGCGGCACCUUGACGGUACCUUGCGAGAAAGCCACGGCUAACUACGUGCCAGCAGCCGCCGUAA